Molecule: long non-coding RNA, 2296 nt
Organism: Cottoperca gobio
Lineage: Eukaryota; Metazoa; Chordata; Actinopteri; Perciformes; Bovichtidae
Product: hemicentin-2-like
Source: Ensembl
GGUCAUACUAUCAGCUAGUUGCACAUGUUUCUAAGUGCGUGUGUGUGUAUUUUUUCACCAACACCCAAAACUGUCAAAAGUCCUGCAUUACACAGCGUAGCAUAAUCAUAUUUGAGGUAUACAGUUGUAUAAAAGAAAAUCAUUGCUCUUCAACAAUGUCUGCUUCCCUCUUUGUGGUCAUACUGGGUGAGUUACUCAACACAAACUGAACUGCAGUACACUUACUAUUUUUUACAACUACUUGAUCUCUUUUUCCUCUCUACAGGGUUGUACUACUGUAGCAAGGAGAGCUGUAAGUCAGUUGUAUUGUUAGUGUGUAUCACUUUUGUGUACAAUUGUGUGGCUCCUGGUUUUUUUUGUAGUAUUUGUGCAGUUUUGUUUUAUUUUAUUUUCAUUUUUUGAUAGAUCAGUCAACUCUGGGGCGCCCAGAACUUAUUGGCCCUACAGAGGCUUUGGUGAAAAGGGUUGUAGAUUUUUAUUGUGAACUGAAAAUCUCCCCAGAGAAUGUAGCUAUCCUGCUGCAGUUAUUUAAGGUGGAUAAAAGUCCCAAGUUGUUGGGCGAAUACACCUCCCUGGAUAGGGAGGUUGCAGUCUUCCCCAUGGUAAUCAAACCUUCCCAUGAAGGCAACCUAACGUGUGUGGCCAAGGCACAGAACAACUCUAACAUAGAGCCCACUGUCAGCGACACACAGUACCUGAAGGUUGUUGAACCGGUGAAGGGUGCAAAGAUUGUCGUCCCUUCAGGCCAAGUGGAGUUUUUUGAGGGGAAGACACUGGAGCUACGCUGUAAACCUACUGUUGGAAAUCAUGUCUCCUACUCGUGGAUGCUGAAUGGUCAGCUUGUCUCUCAAUCUCGUCUCCUCUAUGUUGCAGAUGACUAUCUCUUGAUCAAGAGAACUACUUCUCAAGAUAGCGGCUCCUACAUGUGUGUCGCCACCAACGAAUUCAACAAAACAGACGUCUUUACCGCCAACAGCUCUGAAGUUGUAAUCACAGUGAAAGACCUGGUGUCUAUCCCUGACAUCUCCUUUACCGUGUUAAAGGAAGAUUCCCACAACUAUUCAGCCAUGGUCGCCUGUCAGACAACCAAAGGGACUCCACCUGUCACCUUUUCACUGUACAACAGGAGAGGAUCGGUUGACAAUGUGACGGUUGAUAAGAGAGAUGUCACAUUUAAGGUUCCAAUGGUCUUGGGCCGGCACUUGGGAUGGCUCCAGUGCCAGGCAAACAAUGGAGAUGGGAUCGAGUACAGUCAAUGGAUUUCCUUAGAAGUUGUUCCUGUUGGUGGGCCUGUGACGAUGCGUUACGACUAUGACAUUGGAGAAAACUAUGCCGUGAUCAGCCUGAGGUUCUACUGCAAGGCAGCGAAGGGAUCUCUCCCACGGUACCAAUGGUUCCUCAACAAAACCCUCCUGCAUGACCGAGGAAGCUUCUACUACGUGGUCAACCAGCCUCCAGAAGAGUCUGUACUCAUCCUGUCUGUAGGGAGGAGCAGCACUGGAUCGUACCACUGUGAAGUGUCGGACAGCUUUGACAACACCACCGCCAUAAGCAGCAAGAUGCUGUAUUUGGAUAAAGAAGAGCUGAAUCGUCUCCGCUCCUUGGUGGUGGUAGUUGUCUUUGGAUGUUUCACAUUCCUGGUUCUUCUGGUCUCCAUUUGUUUGUGCAUUGGAGCGAAGUCCAGUCAAAGGCAGCUUGGAGAGAAGUCUCUGAUUUCUCAGAGUACGAUGAGGAUGCUGAUGUAGUGAAGAUGGCCAGAGGUGGUGAAUUUGAUCAGGCAUCUGAAGUCUCUGUAGAUGAAUGGCCCCAAAUUGAAGAAGUGAAGAAAAUGUUGGAGGAUGAACCAGUUGAGGGACCCUGAGGGUUCAAACUGUUAUAAACACAGGCUGUGGUUGUUUAAUAAACAUUGGCUCAAGAUGUUCUGUGCUGUCACGUUUUUUCAGAAUAAUGAAUUAUUAUUCUUUCUAAAGUAUGUGUGCUGGUAGUAGUAAUAGCAGUCACUAUGGAAGCCCAUAGUAAAAGGAAAAAAAAAUCAAACAAGAUGAAAACUUAGCCUUGUGAUAAAAAAAAGUAAUUAUAAUACCAAACAUUCUCAGAAUAUUUGAGUUAGUAUCUCAAAAUACUGAGUUAGUAUGUCAGAAUAAUGAGUUAGUAUCUCAUAAAUAAUGAGUUAGUAUCUCAAAAUAAUGAAUUAGUAUCUCAGAAUAGUGACUUAGUAUCUCAGAAUAAUGACUUAGUAUCUCAGAAUAAUGACUUAGUAUCUCAGAAUAAUGAGUUAGUAUCUCAGAAUAAUGAG